UAAAAGUUUUCUCCUGUUUCACAUGUUCCAUAGCAACAUUUAGUUACUUUGUUAACUUUUCAGUGAUAACUGCAUAUUGAUCAGCUUCCAUAGGAUGAAAUUUAUGUAGGUGGAUGGGUAUUAGUGGAAGAGUACACUCGUUUAUGUUGUCUCUAGUCGCUGUUAACACCGCUAUAUGGAUUUCAACGCCUUGAUGCAUUCUAAGAUUAUUAUGGGAGUAGAAACUGGACAGUAAUCUGAAUGUUUCUAUUUUUAGAAUAGAUCUGUAAUAGCAUGUUUCAUUAACAAAGUCACCCAGACUGUUUAGUUGACAACUCUUUCCUAACCUUUGCUAAAACAAGUUUGCAUGUUUUACUUACAAGCUAUAACUGCCCGUCUUAUGGUUUCCCAGAGGCGUGCUGUCUAUGAUGCAUUAUUACGGUGUGCAAGGCCUGCAAGGUUAUGGGAUCUCUAUGCAUUUGCCGGUGGCCAUUCCAGGUUUAGUAACACGAAUCCCAAAGUAAGGCUGUUGAAUGAGUACUGCCGACUUCUUGGAAUGGGGUUCUGUCAAGCUUCUAUCCGUGCUAUUGAAGAUGGGUCAUUCACCCUCUCAAACGAAUAUUGGAGAAUAAGCAGUGUUAACUCUAAUUACACAAUGUCUCCAACUUAUCCAUUUGCUUUACUCUUACCAAAGUCCAUAAGGUGAGGUGAUGCCUCUCAAAUGAGUAUUGGAGAAUAAGCAGUGUUAACUCUAAUUACACAAUGUCUCCAACUUAUCCAUUUGCUUUACUCUUACCAAAGUCCAUAAGGUGAGGUGAUGUUUUUUGCUCUUCCAUUUUUUCUGGGUUAAGUGAUGAUUAUUUUGGCAUUUACCUAAUGACUUUUCAUACAUAGUG
This 875-nucleotide long non-coding RNA is filed under the name Nicotiana benthamiana. RNAcentral describes it as "long non-coding RNA (NBEN_LNC024627)". The record is from RNAcentral. Lineage: Eukaryota; Viridiplantae; Streptophyta; Magnoliopsida; Solanales; Solanaceae.